GUGCCAGCAGCCGCGGUAAUACGAAGGGGGCUAGCGUUGUUCGGAAUUACUGGGCGUAAAGCGCACGUAGGCGGGUCGUUAAGUUAGAGGUGAAAUCCCGGGGCUCAACCCCGGAACUGCCUUUGAUACUGGCGAUCUAGAGGUCGAGAGAGGUGAGUGGAAUUCCGAGUGUAGAGGUGAAAUUCGUAGAUAUUCGGAAGAACACCAGUGGCGAAGGCGGCUCACUGGCUCGAUACUGACGCUGAGGUGCGAAAGCGUGGGGAGCAAACAGGAUUAGAUACCCUCGUAGUCC
RNAcentral lists this ribosomal RNA (292 nucleotides) under uncultured bacterium. RNAcentral's name for it is "partial 16S ribosomal RNA". It matches the Rfam family "Bacterial small subunit ribosomal RNA", at positions 505 to 796 of the family's 1533-position model. The record is from RNAcentral.